RNAcentral lists this transfer RNA (114 nucleotides) under Fluviicola taffensis DSM 16823. Its description in RNAcentral is "tRNA-Und (NNN) (tRNA-Und-NNN-1-1)". It matches the Rfam family "tRNA". From Rfam's summary of the family: Transfer RNA (tRNA) molecules are approximately 80 nucleotides in length. Their secondary structure includes four short double-helical elements and three loops (D, anti-codon, and T loops). Further hydrogen bonds mediate the characteristic L-shaped molecular structure. tRNAs have two regions of fundamental functional importance: the anti-codon, which is responsible for specific mRNA codon recognition, and the 3' end, to which the tRNAs corresponding amino acid is attached (by aminoacyl-tRNA synthetases). tRNAs cope with the degeneracy of the genetic code in two manners: having more than one tRNA (with a specific anti-codon) for a particular amino acid; and 'wobble' base-pairing, i.e. permitting non-standard base-pairing at the 3rd anti-codon position. Lineage: Bacteria; Pseudomonadati; Bacteroidota; Flavobacteriia; Flavobacteriales; Crocinitomicaceae. The record is from Rfam by way of RNAcentral.
GAGGCAGUAGCUCAGUUGGUAGAGCAGGUUAGCUUUUUAAUUACCAAUGGUCAAUAAAAGCUUACUUCAGCACUCCUAAUGCCCAGGUUGUGGGUUCGAAUCCCACCUGCCUCA